UUAAUACGUUCAAAUGAAAGAGAGAAACACAGUGGAAGAUUAAGAGUCACGCUUGACACUUCCAAGAAAAGCAGUUCCUUGUUGAUCACGGCUUCCCGGGCAGCAGACACUGCUUCUUACUUCUCGACCUCGCACUGUGGUUCUAACGACUACAAGCUCAGCUUUGGAGCCGGAACCACAGUAACUGUAAGAGCAAUAUCCAGAACCCUGACCCUGCCGUGUACCAGCUGAGAGAC
This 236-nucleotide long non-coding RNA is filed under the name Homo sapiens (human). RNAcentral's name for it is "non-protein coding lnc-ABHD4-12:29". The record is from RNAcentral. Lineage: Eukaryota; Metazoa; Chordata; Mammalia; Primates; Hominidae.